RNAcentral lists this transfer RNA (68 nucleotides) under Bemisia tabaci. RNAcentral describes it as "tRNA-Met". The record is from RNAcentral. Lineage: Eukaryota; Metazoa; Arthropoda; Insecta; Hemiptera; Aleyrodidae.
AGAUAUGUAAGCUAAGUUUAAGCUAUUGGAUUCAUAUUUCGAUUAUAGAUGACCCGGUCUCUUAUCUG